AGAACUUUCCAGAGAUGGAUUGGUGCCUUCGGGAACUCUGAGACAGGUGCUGCAUGGCUGUCGUCAGCUCGUGUUGUGAAAUGUUGGAUUAAGUCCCGCAACGAGCGCAACCCUUAUCCUUUGUUGCCAGCGGUCCGGCCGGGAACUCAAAGGAGACUGCCAGUGAUAAACUGGAGGAAGGUGGGGAUGACGUCAAGUCAUCAUGGCCCUUACGAGUAGGGCUACACACGUGCUACAAUGGCGCAUACAAAGAGAAGCGACCUCGCGAGAGCAAGCGGACCUCAUAAAGUGCGUCGUAGUCCGGAUUGGAGUCUGCAACUCGACUCCAUGAAGUCGGAAUCGCUAGUAAUCGUGGAUCAGAAUGCCACGGUGAAUACGUUCCCGGGCCUUGUACACACCGCCCGUCACACCAUGGGAGUGGGUUGCAAAAGAAGUAGGUAGCUUAACCUUCGGGAGGGCGCUUACCACUUUGUGAUUCAUGACUGGGGUGAAGUCGUAACAAGGUAAGCGUAGAUGA
This 517-nucleotide ribosomal RNA is filed under the name uncultured bacterium. RNAcentral describes it as "bacterial SSU rRNA". It matches the Rfam family "Bacterial small subunit ribosomal RNA", at positions 992 to 1509 of the family's 1533-position model. The record is from RNAcentral.